UUCAAAACAACCGAGUAAAUUUACAGCUCAUUCAAGUGCCACUGGUCUGUUUUUGGAGAAUUUCAUCUUUAAGGUGCUGUGAGAAAGAGCCAUGUCUCCCGUGCCGCCACUGAUGAUGACAUUACAAAACACGUAAUACGGUGGUUCAACUUGGCAGCAGAUAGGGGAAACUCAAGGAGCCGUCCCACUGUCAGCACCCAACAGUAGCGUUUCGGUGUUUCACAGUUAACUUCUGUGUUUUGAAGUGUUCGUUUAACAGUUAAGUAGUAACAGUUGAGAUAAAGUUUACUACUUUAAAUAGUUUUGUUUCUAUUCAUCUUCAAAAAACCCAGUUUCCACACAAAAAAAUAAGCAGUGCAACAUUAAUAAGAAUAAAUGUUUCUUGAGCUACAUUAAAAAAGUGUUCUUUUUCAUUAAAUAAAAAAUGUUCUUUGGACAAUUUAUGGUUGCAUUUCAUUUUCUGUAAUACCUAUUAAUUGUAUACAUAAAUAAUUGUUACUGGCUAAAAUGGCUGAAUUUUGAUUUACAAGUUUUGAAUGAUUUCAUCAUGUUUUAUUAAUAAAGGCAGGCAUAUUAAAUAUUAUAGAGCAAUCCAGUCUAUCCAAUGUCGGUCCAUUAGAUUUGAAAUAUUUCUUUAGCUAGUUUUGGCCAGAAUACUAGUUUUAAAUGAGGGAUCUGAAAGGUAUCCAGACAGAAUGACCAGAUCGGAUCCGUGGCGGAUCAGCUGCUUUAUAAACGGGUCCUGAUCGGAUCCGUGGCGGAUCAGCUGCUUUAUAAACGGGUCCUGAUCGGAUCCGUGGCGGAUCAGCUGCUUUAUCAGUGGAUACAUGGCGGGUCUGCCCCAGAUCUGGUCCGGAUCCGCAAUCCUUAUUUGUUCCGGAUCCGCUGCGCUGUGCAAGUGGACUCCGUUCCGGACCCGUUUUGCGCAUCAGGUUCAAAAACUGAAUUUGUCCCAAACAAAAAAAUGGACUUUCUUGAUCUACAUACAGUAUGUGCAUUUUAAAACGUUUGGAGUGCAAAUUACAUAAUUGCUAAAACCAUCUCUGUCUUUUCAUGUUUAUCAGUAAUGAAAAUAAACACAUGGUUAAUUUACAUUUUUAUACAAAUACUACCAGAUUGAAAUACAACCAGUCUUUCAUAAAGGAUCAUAAUGCAUUUGGGU
Long non-coding RNA from Triplophysa rosa, 1162 nucleotides. RefSeq lists it as uncharacterized. NCBI's taxonomy places the organism in Eukaryota, Metazoa, Chordata, Actinopteri, Cypriniformes, Nemacheilidae. The record is from RefSeq and is a predicted model, not a curated record. The transcript is spliced from 3 exons.